Molecule: ribosomal RNA, 497 nt
Filed under: uncultured bacterium
Lineage: Bacteria
Description: partial 16S ribosomal RNA
Rfam family: Bacterial small subunit ribosomal RNA
Source: RNAcentral
GAUGAACGCUGGCGGCGUGCCUAAUACAUGCAAGUCGAGCGAACGGACGAGAAGCUUGCUUCUCUGAUGUUAGCGGCGGACGGGUGAGUAACACGUGGAUAACCUACCUAUAAGACUGGGAUAACUUCGGGAAACCGGAGCUAAUACCAGAUAAUAUUUUGAACCGCAUGAUUCAAAAGUGAAAGACGGUCUUGCUGUCACUUAUAGAUGGAUCCGCGCUGCAUUAGCUAGUUGGUAAGGUAACGGCUUACCAAGGCAACGAUGCAUAGCCGACCUGAGAGGGUGAUCGGCCACACUGGAACUGAGACACGGUCCAGACUCCUACGGGAGGCAGCAGUAGGGAAUCUUCCGCAAUGGGCGAAAGCCUGACGGAGCAACGCCGCGUGAGUGAUGAAGGUCUUCGGAUCGUAAAACUCUGUUAUUAGGGAAGAACAUAUGUGUAAGUAACUGUGCACAUCUUGACGGUACCUAAUCAGAAAGCCACGGCUAACUACGUG